Molecule: non-coding RNA, 596 nt
Organism: Carica papaya (papaya)
Lineage: Eukaryota; Viridiplantae; Streptophyta; Magnoliopsida; Brassicales; Caricaceae
Source: RefSeq, a predicted model, not a curated record
GAACGGUACCGAAUCCACAGGGACGGGAGACGGGAGAUGGUCAAAGAGAGAGCUUGGGAGAGUUAAUGGUGCGGGAAGAGGAGCUGACUCGUGCUUAGCAGUUCAAAAUAUAUGGAUUCUUUUGCUCGGAAUUACAGGACUCUGAUAAUCUCUUCAUGUUUCAAGGGGUUCCUCUGGAUUUCAUCAUGAAGCGUAAUAGCUUCUGCAUGGGCCACAGCUUCAUCAACUUCACUGCCAUCAUACCUGUAAGCACUUGUUACUGCAACCAAAAGCUGCAUCCAAACACGAGAAUUGCAGCACCGGGAGCGCUUGUAGCGAGAUCUGUAAGCUCGUUUCACUGCCAGGAGAUCAUCCGGUGAUGCAAUACAAGUAAUUUCGACGAUCACCUUAUAAUCAGGGACUGGUUUCUGUAAUGCCAGAUUGGCUAAUACUGCAUCUCGAUCAGCAGGAUCCAAGGUCCAGUGGCAUAUUGCUCUCUGUUUUUUUCCCUCAAUUGAAUAAAUAGCUGAUCAAGUUUAUUCCUUUUUUUUUUUCUUUUCCUUACAUGUAUUAUUAUUUCUUAUUUCAAAGAAAUAUCAAACCAAAUUUAACCUUAA